GCCAGGCAUUGUGGCACAUGCCUGUAGUCCCAGGUACUCAGGAGGCUGAGGUGGGAGGCUCGCUUGAGCCCAGGAAUUUGAGGCUGCAGUGAGCUGAGAUGGGGCCACUGCACUCCAGCCUGGGCAACACAGCAAAAUCCCAUCUCUA
This 148-nucleotide signal recognition particle RNA is filed under the name Gorilla gorilla gorilla (western lowland gorilla). Its description in RNAcentral is "Metazoan signal recognition particle RNA". It matches the Rfam family "Metazoan signal recognition particle RNA". From Rfam's summary of the family: The signal recognition particle (SRP) is a universally conserved ribonucleoprotein. The record is from Rfam by way of RNAcentral. Lineage: Eukaryota; Metazoa; Chordata; Mammalia; Primates; Hominidae.